RNAcentral lists this ribosomal RNA (468 nucleotides) under uncultured bacterium. RNAcentral's name for it is "partial 16S ribosomal RNA". It matches the Rfam family "Bacterial small subunit ribosomal RNA", at positions 28 to 507 of the family's 1533-position model. The record is from RNAcentral.
GACGAACGCUGGCGGCGUGCUUAACACAUGCAAGUCGAACGGAAAGGCCCUGCUUUUGUGGGGUGCUCGAGUGGCGAACGGGUGAGUAACACGUGAGUAACCUCCCCUUGACUUUGGGAUAACUUCAGGAAACUGGGGCUAAUACCGGAUAGGAGCUCCUGCUGCUUGGUGGGGGUUGGAAAGUUUCGGCGGUUGGGGAUGGACUCGCGGCUUAUCAGCUUGUUGGUGGGGUAGUGGCUUACCAAGGCUUUGACGGGUAGCCGGCCUGAGAGGGUGACCGGCCACAUUGGGACUGAGAUACGGCCCAGACUCCUACGGGAGGCAGCAGUGGGGAAUAUUGCACAAUGGGCGGAAGCCUGAUGCAGCAACGCCGCGUGCGGGAUGACGGCCUUCGGGUUGUAAACCGCUUUCGCCUGUGACGAAGCGUGAGUGACGGUAAUGGGUAAAGAAGCACCGGCUAACUACGUG